UGCAACCACAAUCGUCCUCUUGGUCACCCCUCCUUGCGGAAUUUUACCAAAAGGGCUUAUGUCGACUAGGAUGCCUUAUUGUUUGGACUUUUCAUUAAGGAUAGACCUAGGAUUGAAAGAGUCGUCCUGUCAACUGUUGUGCCUCAACACAUUUCGGGAAGAACCAACUAGCUCUGGGUGCGAGUGGCAUUUCACCCUAACCAUGGUAUUUAGGGACACUGUACAAACUAAUAUGUAUUCAGUUCGACUUCACAAAUGUGGUGAUUGAGACUUCAGGAGUGAAUGUAGUAAAUGCGGAUAAUGAAUAGGUUUGUCCAUCAAAUAAAAGACGCCGCUAAGCAAUGUCGUAUCACAAUUCAAGCAACAUAUGGAUAACGUAUCUCAACUAAUUUCACGCUCGAAAAUAUAAAAACAAAGCACCUACUAGUACUAUUAUUUGCUUCCCUAAAGUUUAAAAUGUAUAAAGCAUGAUCCAAAGGUCCAAAAUUUUGAUUAAAUUUGUAUGAAUCUAGUCACAAAAUUAACACAUUUAACAUAAAAAUCAAUUAAUCAUGCUGAAUCUGGAUCUAAACAUAACAGAAUGAAUACCAAAACUUUUUAACAACUACAUUAUAAACUUCACAUUAAACCAAAACACUAAACAAACAGAUGAUUCAUCAUUGUACUAAUAACAGAUCAUCCAUAACCAAAAAACAAAAAUCAAAAAAAUUAAAACCGACUAAUUACUAGUAGGAGCAUUAGCAGGAACAGGAGGAAAACCCAAGAAGGGCCUUGUAGAAUUGAGACAAUUAACACUAGUAUUGAAACAAUUAUCAGCAAGAUGAAAAGUAUCCUUCAAUUUAUGAAACCCAUUCUCGAAUACUCCAAAUCCAAACAAAAAACCAAUGGCAACCACAACUGCUAUUAAGCAGACACACAACAUGCACAUCCUACCACCACAACACAUUUUUCUUCUUCUUGGAUCUGUACGAAAAAUAUUUUUUAAAAAUAUUAUGAGUUUGGAUUUGAGGAUUUGUGGGGUUUUUUGGAUUGGGUUAUAUAUAGGAGUGAUUUAAAAAAAAAAUAAAAAAAAUUGAGAAGUGUAGGUUUGGAUUUCUUUCUCUUAAUUUGUUGGUUGUUUCUUCUUCUUUGUUAUAUUGCUAGCGGUUACUCUACGCAUUGUUUCUACUUUUUAUAGGGACAUAUUGUCCCACUAAAACCAUAUUCCUCUUUUGUUUCGGAUAGUGGGGCUUUCUUAUUUUUU
RNAcentral lists this long non-coding RNA (1243 nucleotides) under Capsicum annuum. RNAcentral's name for it is "long non-coding RNA (CANN_LNC012204)". The record is from RNAcentral. Lineage: Eukaryota; Viridiplantae; Streptophyta; Magnoliopsida; Solanales; Solanaceae.